UUGCUUUGGCAGCACAUAUACUGACAUUAGGACCAUACAGAGAAGAUACAUGGCUCCUGCACAAGGAUGAGAUGCAAAUUUGUGAAGAGUUCCAUAUUUUU
Molecule: small nuclear RNA, 101 nt
Filed under: Choloepus hoffmanni (Hoffmann's two-fingered sloth)
Lineage: Eukaryota; Metazoa; Chordata; Mammalia; Pilosa; Megalonychidae
Source: RNAcentral